CGGGAUGUUCCGCAGCCUGAACGCACAGAGAGCGAAGCGAACGCUUCUGCUUCGGGAGCAGGGGGUCGCUGGUUCGAAUCCAGUCAUCCCGACCA
Molecule: transfer RNA, 95 nt
Filed under: Desulfuromonadales bacterium
Lineage: Bacteria; Pseudomonadati; Thermodesulfobacteriota; Desulfuromonadia; Desulfuromonadales
Also listed under: 1 other name
Description: tRNA-Pro
Rfam family: tRNA (bases 31-84)
About the family: Transfer RNA (tRNA) molecules are approximately 80 nucleotides in length. Their secondary structure includes four short double-helical elements and three loops (D, anti-codon, and T loops).
Source: RNAcentral